This 393-nucleotide ribosomal RNA is filed under the name uncultured bacterium. RNAcentral's name for it is "partial 16S ribosomal RNA". It matches the Rfam family "Bacterial small subunit ribosomal RNA", at positions 523 to 918 of the family's 1533-position model. The record is from RNAcentral.
AUACGGAGGAUGCGAGCGUUAUCCGGAUUUAUUGGGUUUAAAGGGUGCGUAGGCUGUGCGUUAAGUCAGGGGUGAAAUGCCGUCGCUCAACGACGGAGCUGCCCUUGAUACUGGCGUGCUGGAGUACGGAUGCCGUUGGAGGAAUGAGUGGUGUAGCGGUGAAAUGCUUAGAUAUCACUCAGAACACCGAUUGCGAAGGCAUCUGACGAAUCCGUCACUGACGCUGAUGCACGAAAGCGUGGGGAUAGAACAGGAUUAGAUCCCCUGGUAUUCCACGCCGUAAACGAUGAUGACUAACCGUCGGCGAUAGACAGCCGGUGGCCAAGCGAAAGCGAUAAGUCAUCCACCUGGGGAGUACGUCGGCAACGAUGAAACUCAAAUGAAUUGACGGGG